ACCAAUGGAAUCACUGACUGUAACAGGACGUGACUUCAAGGUGGAAGGCUUUAAAUCUGUUCCACGUCCUCCUACUAUGAUACAUAAUUACAAAACGGAGCAGCCUAUUACUAUCUGGACUGACCAUGCCACACAAAUACAUGGUGUCACUCCAAUAAAGAAUCCUCAUACUCCAUUUCGAAAAAAUACAUCAUUUACGAAACCAAUAACGG
Hemiscyllium ocellatum (epaulette shark) is the source of this 212-nucleotide long non-coding RNA. RefSeq lists it as uncharacterized. NCBI's taxonomy places the organism in Eukaryota, Metazoa, Chordata, Chondrichthyes, Orectolobiformes, Hemiscylliidae. The transcript is spliced from 3 exons. The record is from RefSeq and is a predicted model, not a curated record.